UCGACUAUGUUGAAUAAAAUUCUAGGUAGAAUUAUGAUAAUGACAUUGUCUGCCUAUGUGUCUUGACCAAAUUACGUGCCAGCWGUCGCGGUAAUACGUAGAAGACUAGUGUUAUUCAUGUUUAAUCGGUUUAAAGGGUACCUAGACGGUAGAUCAAGCUUUCUAAUAAAGGAAAAGGACUAAUUUACUAGAGUUACUUAUGAGGGGGUAUUAAAGUACUGCUGGUGUAGAGAUGAAAUUCUGUCAUACCUCUUUUCAAAAGAAAAACCAUGGCACAGGUAUAGGCGAAGGCAUCCCCUUAUGUGAUAACUGACGUUGAGGGACGAAGGCUUUGUGUAGCGAACAGGAUUAGAUACCCCAGUAGUCGAAGCAGAAAAUGAUGAAUGUCAUAGAUUAGAUAUAUAAGUUUAUUCUAUAAAUGAAAGUGUAAGCAUUCCACCUCAUGAGUAAUUUGGCAACAUUGGAACUGAAAUCAUUAGACCGUUUCUGAAACCAGUAGUGAAGUAUGUUGUUUAAUUUGAUGUUCCGCAAAAAACCUUACCACAAUUUGAAUAUUUAUAUUGUUUAUUGUUUUAUUAUUAAUUUUCUUGAACGUAAAAGAAAAGAGAGAUGUAGGAUAAUAGUAAGAAAAUUAAGAAACAAGCAAUAAGAUAUAAUUACAAGCGUUGCACGGCUGUCUUCAGUUAAUGUCGCGAGACUUUGGUUAGUUCCAUUAAAUUAACGUAAACCCUUACUUUAUUUUUAUAUAGAGUAGUUCCCCGCUAGAUUGGAUAUGAUAACAGG
Molecule: ribosomal RNA, 783 nt
Filed under: Xanthoparmelia sp.
Lineage: Eukaryota; Fungi; Ascomycota; Lecanoromycetes; Lecanorales; Parmeliaceae
Description: SSU rRNA
Rfam family: Bacterial small subunit ribosomal RNA
Source: RNAcentral